RNAcentral lists this ribosomal RNA (429 nucleotides) under Gemmatimonadota bacterium. Its description in RNAcentral is "Gemmatimonadetes bacterium partial 16S ribosomal RNA". It matches the Rfam family "Bacterial small subunit ribosomal RNA", at positions 355 to 776 of the family's 1533-position model. The record is from RNAcentral. Lineage: Bacteria; Pseudomonadati; Gemmatimonadota.
UAGGGAAUCUUCGGCAAUGGACGAAAGUCUGACCGAGCAACGCCGCGUGAGUGAAGAAGGUUUUCGGAUCGUAAAACUCUGUUGUUAGAGAAGAACAAGGACGUUAGUAACUGAACGUCCCCUGACGGUAUCUAACCAGAAAGCCACGGCUAACUACGUGCCAGCAGCCGCGGUAAUACGUAGGUGGCAAGCGUUGUCCGGAUUUAUUGGGCGUAAAGCGAGCGCAGGCGGUUUCUUAAGUCUGAUGUGAAAGCCCCCGGCUCAACCGGGGAGGGUCAUUGGAAACUGGGAGACUUGAGUGCAGAAGAGGGGAGUGGAAUUCCAUGUGUAGCGGUGAAAUGCGUAGAUAUAUGGAGGAACACCAGUGGCGAAGGCGGCUCUCUGGUCUGUAACUGACGCUGGGGCUCGAAAGCGUGGGGAGCAAACAGG